CCUACGGGAGGCAGCAGUGAGGAAUAUUGGUCAAUGGGCGAGAGCCUGAACCAGCCAAGUCGCGUGAAGGAUGACGGCCCUACGGGUUGUAAACUUCUUUUGCCAGGGAGCAAUUGGGUCCACGCGUUGGCUUAUCGAGAGUACCUGAAUAAAAACCAUCGGCUAACUCCGUGCCAGCAGCCGCGGUAAUAAGGAGGAUGCGAGGGUUUUCCGGAUUUAUUGGGUUAAAAGGAUGCUUAGGCGGAAUUUCAAGUCAGCGGGAAAAAUACGGGGCUAAACCCCGUCGUGCCGUUGAAACUGUUGUUCUUGAGUGGGCGAGAGGUAUGCGGAAUGCGGGGUGUAGCGGUGAAAUGCAUAGAUAUCACGCAGAACUCCGGUGGCGAAGGCAGCAUACCGGAGCCCAACUGACGCUGAGGCACGAAAGCGUGGGGAUCGAACAGGAUUAGAUACCCCUGUAGUC
Molecule: ribosomal RNA, 460 nt
Filed under: uncultured bacterium
Lineage: Bacteria
Description: partial 16S ribosomal RNA
Rfam family: Bacterial small subunit ribosomal RNA
Source: RNAcentral